RNAcentral lists this unclassified non-coding RNA (324 nucleotides) under plant metagenome. Its description in RNAcentral is "partial contains 5.8S ribosomal RNA, internal transcribed spacer 2, and large subunit ribosomal RNA". The stretch from base 1 to 105 matches the Rfam family "5.8S ribosomal RNA", at positions 50 to 154 of the family's 154-position model. The record is from RNAcentral.
GAAAUGCGAUACGUAAUGUGAAUUGCAGAAUUCAGUGAAUCAUCGAGUCUUUGAACGCACAUUGCGCCCCCUGGUAUUCCGGGGGGCAUGCCUGUCCGAGCGUCAUUGCUGCCCUCAAGCACGGCUUGUGUGUUGGGCCCCCGUCCCCCCCCCAAGGGGACGGGCCCGAAAGGCAGCGGCGGCACCGUGUCCGGUCCUCGAGCGAAUGGGAAGCAACUUUUUGUCACCCGCUCCUGUAGGUCCGGCCGGCGGCCUGCCCAACCCCAACCUUUUUUUCAACCAGGUUGACCUCGGAUCAGGUAGGGAUACCCGCUGAACUUAAGC